GACGAACGCUGGCGGCGUUCUUAACACAUGCAAGUCGAACGGAAAGGCCUCUUUCGGGGGGUACUCGAGUGGCGAACGGGUGAGUAACACGUGAGUAACCUGCCCUUGACUUUGGGAUAACUUCAGGAAACUGGGGCUAAUACCGGAUAGGAGCUCCUGCUGCAUGGUGGGGGUUGGAAAGUUUCGGCGGUUGGGGAUGGACUCGCGGCUUAUCAGCUUGUUGGUGGGGUAGUGGCUUACCAAGGCUUUGACGGGUAGCCGGCCUGAGAGGGUGACCGGCCACAGUGGGACUGAGAUACGGCCCAGACUCCUACGGGAGGCAGCAGUGGGGAAUAUUGCACAAGGGGUGGAAGCCGGAUGCAGCAACGCCGUGUGCGGGAUGACGGCCUUCGGGUUGUAAACCGCUUUCGCUCAUGACGAAGCUUUGUGUGACGGUAGUGGGUAAAGAAGCACCGGCUAACUACGUG
Molecule: ribosomal RNA, 467 nt
Filed under: uncultured bacterium
Lineage: Bacteria
Description: partial 16S ribosomal RNA
Rfam family: Bacterial small subunit ribosomal RNA
Source: RNAcentral